This 301-nucleotide unclassified non-coding RNA is filed under the name plant metagenome. RNAcentral describes it as "partial contains small subunit ribosomal RNA, internal transcribed spacer 1, and 5.8S ribosomal RNA". The record is from RNAcentral.
UUUCCGUAGGUGAACCUGCGGAAGGAUCAUUAUUGAAUAAACCUGAUGUGACUGUUACCUGGCUUUUCGAAGCAUGUGCUCGUCCGUCAUCUUUAAUCUCUCCACCUGUGCACAUUUUGUAGUCUUGGAUACCUCUCGAGGCAACUCGGAUUUUAGGAUCGCCGUGCUGCACAAGUCGGCUUUCCUUUCAUUUCCAAGACUAUGUUUUUAUAUACACCAAAGUAUGUUUAAAGAAUGUCAUCAAUAGGAACUUGUUUCCUAUAAAAUUAUACAACUUUCAGCAACGGAUCUCUUGGCUCUC